RNAcentral lists this ribosomal RNA (904 nucleotides) under uncultured organism. Its description in RNAcentral is "bacterial SSU rRNA". It matches the Rfam family "Bacterial small subunit ribosomal RNA", at positions 569 to 1485 of the family's 1533-position model. The record is from RNAcentral.
GCGUAGGCGGAUUGGUAAGUCAAGUGGUGAAAUCCUCUCGCUUAACGGGAGAAUUGCCGUUGAUACUAUCAAUCUUGAGUACACUUGAAGUGGCCGGAAUGUGUCAUGUAGCGGUGAAAUGCAUAGAUAUGACACAGGACACCGAUUGCGAAGGCAGCUCACUAAAUUGUAACUGACGCUGAGGCACGAAAGCGUGGGGAGCAAACAGGAUUAGAUACCCUGGUAGUCCACGCUGUAAACGAUGAUCACUAGCUGUUGGCGAUACACUGUCAGCGGCUGAGCGAAAGUAUUAAGUGAUCCACCUGGGGAGUACGAUCGCAAGGUUGAAACUCAAAGGAAUUGACGGGGGCCCGCACAAGCGGAGGAGCAUGUGGUUUAAUUCGAUGAUACGCGAGGAACCUCACCUAGGCUUAAAUGCUUUUUGACCGUCCUGGAAACAGGAUUUCCCUUCGGGGCAAAUUGCAAGGUGCUGCAUGGUUGUCGUCAGCUCGUGCCGUGAGGUGUCGGGUUAAGUCCCAUAACGAGCGCAACCCCUAUUCUUAGUUGCCAUCAGGUAAUGCUGGGAACUCUAAGGAAACUGCCUACGCAAGUAGUGAGGAAGGUGGGGAUGACGUCAAAUCAGCACGGCCCUUACGCCUAGGGCUACACACGUGCUACAAUGGCCAGCAUAGUGGGUUGCUACCUGGUAACAGGAUGCUAAUCUCUAAAUCUGGUCUCAGUUCGGAUUGAAGUCUGCAACUCGACUUCAUGAAGUUGGAUUCGCUAGUAAUCGCGCAUCAGCAAUGGCGCGGUGAUACGUUCCCGGGCCUUGUACACACCGCCCGUCAAGCCAUGGAAGCUGGGAGUGCCUGAAGUCUGUAACCGCAAGGAGCGGCCUAGGGUAAAACCAGUAACUGGGGCUAAG